AUCAGAAAGUGUUGGGAAGCAUGAUGAUUGGGUUUUCAUGCACAUGUGUGAGAUGCACCUCCCUCAAUCCUUGUCCUUGUUACGACAUUGGCACGUUACUCGUCUGAUG
Lemur catta (Ring-tailed lemur) is the source of this 109-nucleotide small nucleolar RNA. RefSeq annotates it as small nucleolar RNA U13. The record is from RefSeq and is a predicted model, not a curated record. The transcript has a single exon. Lineage: Eukaryota; Metazoa; Chordata; Mammalia; Primates; Lemuridae.